Molecule: transfer RNA, 73 nt
Filed under: Camelus bactrianus (Bactrian camel)
Lineage: Eukaryota; Metazoa; Chordata; Mammalia; Artiodactyla; Camelidae
Also listed under: 3 other names
Rfam family: tRNA
About the family: Transfer RNA (tRNA) molecules are approximately 80 nucleotides in length. Their secondary structure includes four short double-helical elements and three loops (D, anti-codon, and T loops). Further hydrogen bonds mediate the characteristic L-shaped molecular structure. tRNAs have two regions of fundamental functional importance: the anti-codon, which is responsible for specific mRNA codon recognition, and the 3' end, to which the tRNAs corresponding amino acid is attached (by aminoacyl-tRNA synthetases). tRNAs cope with the degeneracy of the genetic code in two manners: having more than one tRNA (with a specific anti-codon) for a particular amino acid; and 'wobble' base-pairing, i.e. permitting non-standard base-pairing at the 3rd anti-codon position.
Source: Rfam by way of RNAcentral
GAGGGUGUAGCUCAAGUGGUAGAGCACAUGCCUAGCAUGCACAAGGUCCUGGGUUCAAUCCCCAGAACCUCCU